This 253-nucleotide ribosomal RNA is filed under the name uncultured bacterium. RNAcentral describes it as "partial 16S ribosomal RNA". It matches the Rfam family "Bacterial small subunit ribosomal RNA", at positions 524 to 776 of the family's 1533-position model. The record is from RNAcentral.
UACGGAGGGGGCUAGCGUUGUUCGGAAUUACUGGGCGUAAAGCGUACGUAGGCGGAUAUGCAAGUUGGGGGUGAAAUCCCGGGGCUUAACCCCGGAAUUGCCUUCAAAACUGUGUAUCUUGAGACCGAGAGAGGUAAGGGGAAUUCCGAGUGUAGAGGUGAAAUUCGUAGAUAUUCGGAAGAACACCAGUGGCGAAGGCGCCUUACUGGCUCGGUACUGACGCUGAGGUACGAAAGCGUGGGGAGCAAACAGG